GAUGAACGCUGACAGAAUGCUUAACACAUGCAAGUCAACUUGAAUUUGGGUUUUUAACUUAGGUUUGGGUGGCGGACGGGUGAGUAACGUGUAAAGAACUUGCCUCACAGCUAGGGACAACAUUUGGAAACGAAUGCUAAUACCUAAUAUUAUGAUAAUAGGGCAUCCUAUAAUUAUGAAAGCUAUAAGCGCUGUGAGAGAGCUUUGCGUCCCAUUAGCUAGUUGGAGAGGUAACGGCUCACCAAGGCGAUGAUGGGUAGCCGGCCUGAGAGGGUGAUCGGCCACACGGGGACUGAGACACGGCCCUUACUCCUACGGGAGGCAACAGUGGGGAAUAUUGGACAAUGGACCAAGAGUCUGAUCCAGCAAUUCUGUGUGCACGAUGAAGUUUUUCGGAAUGUAAAGUGCUUUCAGUUGGGAAGAAAGAAAUGACGGUACCAACAGAAGAAGUGACGGCUAAAUACGUG
RNAcentral lists this ribosomal RNA (467 nucleotides) under uncultured bacterium. Its description in RNAcentral is "partial 16S ribosomal RNA". It matches the Rfam family "Bacterial small subunit ribosomal RNA", at positions 28 to 507 of the family's 1533-position model. The record is from RNAcentral.